This 308-nucleotide unclassified non-coding RNA is filed under the name Hevea brasiliensis (rubber tree). The record is from RNAcentral. Lineage: Eukaryota; Viridiplantae; Streptophyta; Magnoliopsida; Malpighiales; Euphorbiaceae.
UAAACGCCGGUCAUCCACUGAUUUAUCGAGGCAAAACACCCGUAAAACCGGUCGUUUACAGCGAUCUCUUGAAAUAAUGGGCGAUUUCGCCGACGACGCCGCGGCGGAAGGUCAGCACGCAGAUCACGAAGAUCGCGCCCUGAAUCACCGUGACCCACUGCCCGAACCCGGCCAGAUACUGCUGCAUGGCGAUGAUGACGAACGCCCCCACCACCGGCCCGAACACCGUGCCGAGGCCGCCGACCAGGGUCAUCAGCACGACUUCGCCGGACAUGGUCCAGUGCACGUCGGUCAGCGACGCGUUCUGC